GGGCCCAUAGCUCAGCAUGGAUAGAGCAACGGCCUCCGGAGCCGUUGGCCCAGGGUUCAAAUCCCUGUGGGCCCG
This 75-nucleotide transfer RNA is filed under the name Thermoprotei archaeon. RNAcentral's name for it is "tRNA-Arg". It matches the Rfam family "tRNA". Rfam says of the family: Transfer RNA (tRNA) molecules are approximately 80 nucleotides in length. Their secondary structure includes four short double-helical elements and three loops (D, anti-codon, and T loops). Lineage: Archaea; Thermoproteati; Thermoproteota; Thermoprotei. The record is from RNAcentral.